Non-coding RNA from Acanthosepion pharaonis, 111 nucleotides. NCBI's taxonomy places the organism in Eukaryota, Metazoa, Mollusca, Cephalopoda, Sepiida, Sepiidae. The record is from the annotation of a GenBank genome assembly.
UACGCUCAUAUCACGUUGAAACACCGAUCCCAGUAGGAUCACCGAAGUUAAGCAACGUCAAGCCUCGUCAGUAUCUAGAUGGGUGACUGCUUGGGAAUACCAAGCACUGUA